GCACUUACAGUUAACCAGGGCAGCUCCAACAGGGCAGAAAUUUGACAAACUGACAUGUUGAAAAGGUGGCAUCCUAUGACAGUGCCACGUUGAAAGUCCCUCAGCUCUUCAAUAAGGCCAUUCUACUACCAGUGUUUGUCUAUGGAGAGUGCAUGGCUGUGUGCUUGAUUUGAUACACGGGUGUGGCUGAAAUAGCCGAAUCCGCUAAUAACUUUUAUUUAUUUAUAUAUAUAUAGUGUGAGGUUAUUAACGAGAUGUUUCUGUGUCUACUACCGUUGCCCUUCGAGACCUCCCCCAUCCUCAAGUUCUCCCCCGCCUCAAGAUCUCCAUCUUACCCACUGAGUCCUCCCCUGUCCUCCUCCACCCUUGUCCUCCUCCCCCCACCCCCCUCAAGAUCUCCAUCUUACCCACUGAGUCCUCCCCUGUCCUCCUCCACCCUUGUCCUCCUCCCCCCACCCCCCUCAAGAUCUCCAUCUUACCCAUUGAGUCCUCCCCUGUCCUUCUUCUCCCCCCAUCUCCCCUGUCUUCUCCCGUGUCAUGUCUUUCCCCUGUGGCCAGACAGCAGCAGCAGGGAGGCAUGACACCCCCCCCCUCUCUCUCUUUCUGUAAUCAACUCCCCAGGGACCACAGAUCAACCUCAUCAUGGCAAAAUGGCUCCCAGGGAACCACUUACUAACACAGUCAAAACAAACAUGAGUAAACAGGUGGAAUUGAUACUGGGGUUGUUUCUGUGUUUCACAGCUCUAAUCAGAGCCAUAGUUAUAUGGGGAAAUUUGGCAUUCACCAUAAAACAAACUUAUUUUUUGGAGGGUCCUCUGUAGCUGAGUUGGUAGAGCAUUGCACAUGCAAUGCCAGGAUAGUGGGUUUGAUUCCCGGGACCACCCAUACGUAAAACAGUUAUGUACGUAUGACUAAGUCAGCUUGGAUAGAGUGUCUGCUAAAUGGCAUGUAUUAUUAUACAUUUUGUUUAUAUAGAUGAAACAUUAGAUUGUGUGAAUGUUGACUAUUGUUCAUUGGUAAUGUUUAGUUGAACCAUAGAGAAUGAUAGAGGACUCUUCUGUUUAUCUGUCCCAUUAUGGUGCCUGUGAAGUGGUCAGUGUUCUUCUUCUACUAUUUCUAUGAGUUGGGAAACAAACUGAAAGGGUGCAUACUGCCACCUAGAGUUAGUUGUUUGAACAGGUAUAAAGCCUACUGUAUGUUGUCUGGAUGAUAUCCUGACGUCUCUCAGAAAAUCUCACUCCUUCAUUCAGUGUAUGCCUGUGACUGUCCAAAUCACUCAUUUAAAUCCUUUCACAUUCUUUAUAUGCUCCUCAGUUCAUUUGUACCUUCAACCAUGUGUUCACUAAACAUUACAAAAGCUGAAGAACAUCCGCGCAUCCAGGUACUUUCCGCAGGUGCUGGAGUUGUAGGCAAACUCAUGGAAAACUCACUCAUCGCAGCUUCAUGUACAAAUGCAACUCAUAUACCCACCCCCGCCCAGGACAAAGAUUUAAGAUCAAAGGCCUGAUUCUGCAUGUCCACCAAGGUUGUUUACAUGUUGAAAAGAGAAAACCCGUAGAAGCCUUAAGACACGGAUCAGUAAACACCGCAGCAAUAUAUGGACAGGAAGUGAUGUCACUGAGUACUGUCCCUAUAUAUAGGACCUUCCACUCCCACCUGGGAUAUGGAAGCCUGAUGAAGACCUACGGGUGGAAACGUUAGAAAUAAAGAUUACCUGGGAGCAUGA
This is a non-coding RNA of Salmo salar (Atlantic salmon), 1726 nucleotides long. The record is from RefSeq and is a predicted model, not a curated record. Lineage: Eukaryota; Metazoa; Chordata; Actinopteri; Salmoniformes; Salmonidae.